Anopheles gambiae (African malaria mosquito) is the source of this 1007-nucleotide long non-coding RNA. RefSeq lists it as uncharacterized. The transcript is spliced from 4 exons. NCBI's taxonomy places the organism in Eukaryota, Metazoa, Arthropoda, Insecta, Diptera, Culicidae. The record is from RefSeq and is a predicted model, not a curated record.
CACCUCCUCUAUAUUCCACCUUGGUUUCUUCUUCUUCUUCUUUGGGUGAUGGGGUUUGUCCACCUAUGAUGUUGUGGGACACCAUAAUCAGAGGUUGACCAUCUUGAUCAAAGUCUGUUGAAAUACCAGGUCACAUAUUAACCCCGUUUUCACAGCUAAGCUGAAGAAGAAUCAGCUAAGAAAAGUGACGUCUGGAUUACCGCGUGUAUGUACAAGGGUUGUGAUUGUAUGUGUGCGACGCUAGUUGCCAAUGUUUACGAUCUGAAUGAUGCGAAACAACAAGAAGGAAAUUAAGUUAACAUUUUCCGUAAAUUUAAGAUAAAAUCAUUGUUCAGUGAUUUGUGAUCACAUAAAUUAUUCAUCGCGCAAUAUCUGUACUAUUACAAUCUAAUGUUCGUGGCUCAUUUUAUCAUCUGGAAAGUGGUGCCUCCUAGACUAGACCGUAUAUAUCAAACCCAAUUCGAUGAAAUUGAAUAAACGCGCCAACAGUGAGUUUGGUCACCCGUCCUAAUUAUAUGUAGCCAUUUGAUUGUGGUUUCCGUGUCGGAUGGUGGCAUAUGGUUCUUGUACACAUGGCGGAAGCAAAAUCACUUGUUAUGAUUCUAUUAUUUGGCGCUUCCAGAUUCCAUCCAUCCAGAUCCAGAAAAACAUUACAGAACCAACGUGAUUUAGUUUUUGAGCUAGCGUUAUAUACAAUUCCGGAAGUGAUGUUUUCGACGUAGGGGUCCGAACUACUCAAUCCUGAUAUGGGUUGUAUAAGCAAAUUACACUACUCUUACAAGCUGAACCAAACAUAUUUUAUAAACAUUAUUCGUGCGACUUAAUGCAAAAAUAGAACAGCUACAGUUAGUGAGUGAAACGAUAUCACUAUCAACAGUUUAAUCAUCUCUUAAAACAUUUAAAAUGAAAUUCUACAUCACAGUUCAUGUAUUUUACGCUUAAGCACAUGUACGCAUUACUAAAGAACGUAUAUAGAUUAAUUAGAUAAUAUUUAACAUGUAGAAAAA